Molecule: ribosomal RNA, 495 nt
Filed under: uncultured bacterium
Lineage: Bacteria
Description: partial 16S ribosomal RNA
Rfam family: Bacterial small subunit ribosomal RNA
Source: RNAcentral
GAUGAACGCUGGCGGCGUGCCUAAUACAUGCAAGUCGAACGCUGAGGGCGGAGCUUGCUCUUCUGGAUGAGUUGCGAACGGGUGAGUAACGCGUAGGUAACCUGCCUGGUAGCGGGGGAUAACUAUUGGAAACGAUAGCUAAUACCGCAUGACAACAGUUAUUGCAUGAUAACUGUUUAAAAGGUGCAACUGCUCCGCUACCACAUGGACCUGCGGUGUAUUAGCUAGUUGGUGAGGUAACGGCUCACCAAGGCGACGAUACAUAGCCGACCUGAGAGGGUGAGCAGCCAGACUGGGAGGGAGACACGGCCCAGAGGCAUAGGGGAGGCAGCAGGAGGGAUACGGCAGCAAGGAGCGGAAGACUGAGCGAGCUGCGCGGCAUGAGUGAGGAGGAUUGUCGGGUCGUAAAUGACGGUUGUAAGAGAAUAACGAGCGUGAGAGUGGAAAGUUCAGACAGUGACGGUAAUGGACAAGGAAGGGACGGCUAACUACGUG